AUUACUAGGACAAUAGACAUAUCAAGUGUAGAUCGUUGUGUGCCAUAUAGGUUGGUUGUUCUCUUAACCAAAGAUCAUGGAGAUACUGGUAUGGCAUGCAGGUGAAAUAUAGGAGUAUAUUUUACUGAAUGUGACCAACUCUGAAGUACUCUACUGUUAAGAGUUCUCCGAAAGGAUAUGGGUAUAAGUAUCCCUCCGACCU
This 202-nucleotide long non-coding RNA is filed under the name Elaeis guineensis (African oil palm). Its description in RNAcentral is "long non-coding RNA (EGUI_LNC039708)". The record is from RNAcentral. Lineage: Eukaryota; Viridiplantae; Streptophyta; Magnoliopsida; Arecales; Arecaceae.